AUGGACAUCCAUGUCGGUCCCAAUGAUUACGCGAAUGAUAUUCGAGUGAAUCUUUGGAUCCCGGACCUUCACCACGGGGUUCGGCGCAGCCGCCUCAUCCAGAGCGAUAGCCCGCGCCGCGUCAACGGCCACAUCCGACGGAGCUAUCGCCGUAACCACAACGACCUCCACCGAGGUGACCACCAUCUCCAAGAGAGUUGCGCCGCCAUGGUGCAAGACAGUCACGCAUGCAUGUUGUGUGUUAAUUUCGGGACACGUACAGAGCAUGAAAAAAUUGCAAGGAACAAGGCUGAGGGAGAGGCUCUCACCUGGGAAGACCUCUCAAAGAUGAAGUUCACAUGGCAAGUUGCACAGGAGACACUUCGCAUCGACCCCCCAGUCUUCGGCACCUCCAGUACAGCACUCGAGGACAUCGAGUUCGACGGCUACCACAGCCCAAAAGGCUGGCAGGUGAUUUGGACGGCAAUCGCGACACACAUGGACCCAAGUAUCUUCCACAAGCCAGCUAAGUUCGACCCAUCCAGGUUCCAGAGCCAGUCAUCCAUGACGUCGCCGUGCUCCUUCGUCCCGUUCGGUGGCGGCCCCAGAAUAUGCCCCGGGAUGGAGUUUGCCAAGAUGGAAACAUUGGUGAUGAUGCACCACCUGGUGAGACACUACAGAUGGAAGCUUUGCUGCAAGUAG
This 681-nucleotide ribosomal RNA is filed under the name Triticum aestivum (bread wheat). RNAcentral describes it as "partial small subunit ribosomal RNA". Lineage: Eukaryota; Viridiplantae; Streptophyta; Magnoliopsida; Poales; Poaceae. The record is from RNAcentral.